AACUUCUUUGACAGAAUUCUUCGGAAGGAAGUUGAUUAAGUUUAGUGGCGGACGGGUGAGUAACGCGUGAGUAACCUGCCUUUGAGAGGGGAAUAACUUCCCGAAAGGGAUGCUAAUACCGCAUGAAGCAUAUUUAUCGCAUGGUAGAUAUGCCAAAGAUUUAUCGCUCAAAGAUGGACUCGCGUCCGAUUAGCCAGUUGGCGGGGUAACGGCCCACCAAAGCGACGAUCGGUAGCCGGACUGAGAGGUUGAACGGCCACAUUGGGACUGAGACACGGCCCAGACUCCUACGGGAGGCAGCAGUGGGGGAUAUUGCGCAAUGGGGGAAACCCUGACGCAGCAACGCCGCGUGAAGGAUGAAGGUUUUCGGAUUGUAAACUUCUUUUAUUUAGGACGAAGAAUGACGGUACUAAAUGAAUAAGCUCCGGCUAACUACGUGCCAGCAGCCGCGGUAAUACGUAGGGAGCAAGCGUUAUCCGGAUUUACUGGGUGUAAAGGGUGCGUAGGCGGCUUGGUAAGUCAGAUGUGAAAUGUAUGGGCUCAACCCAUGCACUGCAUUUGAAACUAUUGAGCUUGAGUGAAGUAGAGGUAGGCGGAAUUNCCUGUGUAGCGGUGAAAUGCGUAGAGAUAGGGAGGAACACCAGUGGCGAAGGC
Molecule: ribosomal RNA, 654 nt
Filed under: uncultured Lachnospiraceae bacterium
Lineage: Bacteria; Bacillati; Bacillota; Clostridia; Lachnospirales; Lachnospiraceae
Description: bacterial SSU rRNA
Rfam family: Bacterial small subunit ribosomal RNA
Source: RNAcentral